RNAcentral lists this ribosomal RNA (265 nucleotides) under uncultured archaeon. Its description in RNAcentral is "partial 16S ribosomal RNA". It matches the Rfam family "Archaeal small subunit ribosomal RNA", at positions 718 to 982 of the family's 1478-position model. The record is from RNAcentral.
AGUCACUGACAUUAGACUACCCCCGUAGUCCAGGGUGUAAACGCUGCAGACUUGGUGUUGGAGGCCCUUUGGGGGCAUUCAGUGCCGGAGAGAAGUUGUUAAGUCUGCUACUUGGGGAGUACGUCCGCAAGGAUGAAACUUAAAGGAAUUGGCGGGGGAGCACCGCAACGGGAGGAGCGUGCGGUUUAAUUGGAUUCAACACCGUAAACUCACCAGGGAAGACUGUUACAUGAAGGCCGAGAUGAAGACUCUGCUAGAUUUUCAG